Molecule: long non-coding RNA, 432 nt
Organism: Arabidopsis thaliana (thale cress)
Lineage: Eukaryota; Viridiplantae; Streptophyta; Magnoliopsida; Brassicales; Brassicaceae
Product: other RNA
Exons: 1
Source: RefSeq
UUGCUUCUCUCUCGUUUACUUUGUAUUGGAGUCAUUACAAGGAGAGUUAUAUGUAUCAAAUCGCAAAGAGACAUAUGCGACAACGAUCAGAAAACAAUAAUUUUACAUUAUGCAAAACGCAGAUGCAUCACAUUUUUAUUAAUUCUUCAUUAAAGGUUCAAUACCGAUAUGAUAAAAAAAGAAGCACAUGGACAAGAACUCUUGCCGUGGCCGUCAAGUCAAACCAAAAAGCUGGAAAACGACACGAGUUUCUGUUUCUCCUCCUCUCUAUUUGUUGGCUCAGCUUUUCUAAUUUCCUUAUUUCUCAUUUUCCUUUUGUCCAUUGCAUUGACACGUGUCCAACCAAAACGGUUAGCAUCAAAACAGAAUUAUCGUCACUCUCCUUCUCCCACUUGGCCUCUCCACAUCAUUCUUUCUUCUCCUUUCUCCAUG